CCGCGUGAGUGAAGAAGGCCUUCGGGUUGUAAAGCUCUUUUGUCAGGGAAGAAACGGUGAGGUCUAAUACAGCUUACUAAUGACGGUACCUGAAGAAUAAGCACCGGCUAACUACGUGCCAGCAGCCGCGGUAAUACGUAGGGUGCAAGCGUUAAUCGGAAUUACUGGGCGUAAAGCGUGGGCAGGUGGUUAUAUAAGUCAGAUGUGAAAUCCCUGGGCUCAACCUAGGAACUGCAUUUGAGACUGUAUGGCUAGAGUGUGUCAGAGGGGGGUAGAAUUCCACGUGUAGCAGUGAAAUGCGUAGAUAUGUGGAGGAAUACCGAUGGCGAAGGCAGCCCCCUGGGAUAACACUGACGCUCAUGCACGAAAGCGUGGGGAGCAAACAGGAUUAGAUACCCUGGUAGUCCACGCCCUAAACGAUGUCUACUAGUUGUUGGGUCUUAAUUGACUUAGUAACGCAGCUAACGCGUGAAGUAGGCCGCCUGGGGAGUACGGUCGCAAGAUUAAAACUCAAAGGAAUUGACGG
Molecule: ribosomal RNA, 526 nt
Filed under: uncultured bacterium
Lineage: Bacteria
Description: bacterial SSU rRNA
Rfam family: Bacterial small subunit ribosomal RNA
Source: RNAcentral